Molecule: ribosomal RNA, 301 nt
Filed under: uncultured bacterium
Lineage: Bacteria
Description: partial 16S ribosomal RNA
Rfam family: Bacterial small subunit ribosomal RNA
Source: RNAcentral
CAGUAGCCGCGGGAAUACGGAGGGGGCUAGCGUUGUUCGGAAUUACUGGGCGUAAAGCGCACGUAGGCGGCUUGGUAAGUUAGAGGUGAAAGCCCGGAGCUCAACUCCGGAAUUGCCUUUAAGACUGCCGAGCUAGUAGGUGAGAGAGGUAAGUGGAAUUCCGAGUGUAGAGGUGAAAUUCGUAGAUAUUCGGAAGAACACCAGUGGCGAAGGCGGCUUACUGGCUCAUUCUAGACGCUGAGGUGCGAAAGCGUGGGGAGCAAACAGGAUUAGAUACCCGAGUAGUCCCUGUCUCUUAUAA